Molecule: transfer RNA, 73 nt
Filed under: Canis lupus familiaris (dog)
Lineage: Eukaryota; Metazoa; Chordata; Mammalia; Carnivora; Canidae
Rfam family: tRNA
About the family: Transfer RNA (tRNA) molecules are approximately 80 nucleotides in length. Their secondary structure includes four short double-helical elements and three loops (D, anti-codon, and T loops).
Source: Rfam by way of RNAcentral
GCCUGGUUGGUUCAGCUGAAAGAGCGUGUGACUCUUGAUCUCAGGGUCAUGAGUUUGAACCCCACAUUGGGCG